Molecule: ribosomal RNA, 936 nt
Filed under: Triticum aestivum (bread wheat)
Lineage: Eukaryota; Viridiplantae; Streptophyta; Magnoliopsida; Poales; Poaceae
Description: partial small subunit ribosomal RNA
Source: RNAcentral
AUGAGGAAUCUGUGUGAUGAGGUCACCGGGUUACUGUUUCUCCAGACCUUCAGCCUUGGGGGGAAGAUGCAGAAUACCUGUCGGCUGCAGAGGUUUCCCAAAAGGAUGAACAGGCUCGUCAACAUGCGACACCUCGACAUGGACAUGGAGUGCAUCGCCAACAUCAGUGGCAUCGGGAGGAUGCGUAAACUGCAAGGAUCCAUCGAGUUCAAGGCCGUCAGGGCGUCAGAGAAACAAGGGCACACCAUGUCAGAGCUUGGCGGGAUGAACUCUCUGCGAGGGACGCUGAGCAUAAAGGGACUCGACGCCGUCGCCGGCAAGGAGGAGGCCAUCAAGGCUCGACUCGACAACAAGAGUGCCAUCAAGGUCCUCAAGCUUGAAUGGAGGCCUCUAGAUCCACGGCGAGUUGACGGUGGACCUGCCGACUCCGACGCCGCUGCCGUCCUUGAAGGUCUCGAGCCUCACCGGGGCCUCCAUGAGCUGCGCAUCACGAGGUACCCUGGGGCGACGUCGCCGACUUGGUUGGGCCGGGGCAUGAUGGUCAACCUGGCGCGCCUGUACCUCAGGAACUGCAGGAGGCUGCAGGCCCUGCCUGCCGUCGGCGGGCUUCCUUGCCUGGAGCUUCUCGAUAUCAAGGAGCUGCCCUGCGUCGAGAGGAUCGACGGUGACUUCUGCAGCGGCGGUGCGUUCCCGGCACUGAAGGAGAUGGUGCUCGACGACAUGCCGAGGCUGGUGGCGUGGGAUGAUAUGCCCAGUCUAGCCUUCCCUGUGCUCAGGGACGUAAGCAUCGCCGACUGCCCACUGCUGUCCUCCUUGUCGGGCCUCCAGCGCUGCAGAGGUCCCAUCCACCUCUGCGUCAAGGGAACGACGGUCCUCGCACGGGCGACCCUGCCCAAAAAUUUCAAUGGCGGUAACUCUACUUGCAAAUUUUACUAG